RNAcentral lists this ribosomal RNA (774 nucleotides) under uncultured Neocallimastigales. Its description in RNAcentral is "partial large subunit ribosomal RNA". It matches the Rfam family "Eukaryotic large subunit ribosomal RNA", at positions 22 to 637 of the family's 3401-position model. The record is from RNAcentral. Lineage: Eukaryota; Fungi; Neocallimastigomycota; Neocallimastigomycetes; Neocallimastigales.
CUAUACAUGACUCUGCGCAUAUCAAUAAGCGGAGGAAAAGAAACUAACAAGGAUUCCCUUAGUAACGGCGAGUGAAGCGGGAAGAGCUCAAAUUUGAAAUCUUAAAGGGUUUCCCUUUACGAAUUGUAGUUUAAAGAAGUGUUUUCUGUUGAGGUUUUGGUAAAAGUUCUUUGGAAUAGGACAUCAUAGAGGGUGAGAAUCCCGUAUUUGACCUUUACUUUCAACUUUGUGAUACACUUUCAAAGAGUCGGAUUGUUUGGGAAUGCAGUCCAAAAUGGGUGGUAAAUUUCAUCUAAAGCUAAAUAUUGGCGAGAGACCGAUAGCGAACAAGUACCGUGAGGGAAAGAUGAAAAGAACUUUGAAAAGAGAGUUAAACAGUACGUGAAAUUGUCAAAAGGGAAGCGUUUGACACCAGUGUUGUUUUUCUGAAAAUCAAUUAAAGAACUGUUUAUGCUAAGCUGUUUAGACUUUAUCAGCUAACUGUUUAGUUUUGAGCUUUUCUUUAAUGCACUUUUCAGUUAACAAGUCAACAUCAAUUUCUUUUGCUGUAAAAAAGCUUGAGGAAGGUGGCUUGAGAUUCGUCUUAAGUGUUUAUAGCCUCUUGCCUAUGCAGUCGGAGAGAUUGAGGUCUGCAGCGUAGAUCCUUCGGGGCUAAAUGCAUUUGUGCUAAGUUAUAGCAUUUUAUAGACGACUUGUUGACUAUGAUUUGUCUUGUAGCUUACUCGCUUAUGCUAUUUUACCUACGCUUAGGAUGUUGACAGCAGUAUAGACUGU